AUGCAUCUGUAUCACUGAUGAAGCCAGGGUUUAUCUGGAGGGGGGGUGUCGACGUCCUCUGCUUCAAACUAAGCUUAAAUGUCUUUCAUCCUUAAGGAAAUUUGGACCUUUUUAAAGGUAGAAAAAUGUUUGAAUUUCCUUCUCAGAACACGACUGUGGCGAAGAGACGGAGCAGCAUUGACAACAGUUGCGCACUGUGUUGGGGAGUUGUUGCUGUAA
Molecule: long non-coding RNA, 219 nt
Filed under: Takifugu rubripes (torafugu)
Lineage: Eukaryota; Metazoa; Chordata; Actinopteri; Tetraodontiformes; Tetraodontidae
Description: lncRNA (ENSTRUG00000029104.1)
Source: RNAcentral